GGAGGAUUGGAGAAGGACCCCAAAAAUGAGCCUGAGAAGGAGCAGCCAGUGAAAUAGGAAGAAAGCAAUGGAAAGCUAACACAACUGGAAAUUUCCCAAAGUCUCACCGUCUGCAGGGUAUCAUGCAGACACACUGUACCCUGGGAUGGACUCAAGACCUCAGGAAACAGCCUGACUGAUCUCUGAGGCCCUGGGACAAGACUGCACUCACUGGACACAAGGGCAUCUGAGGCCCUGUAAUCCCUUCAUGAGAUCAAGGUGGGCAGGAGGAUGGGUACAGAGCAAGGAGCCCCACUGGGAAGCCACCAGGGAAGCACAGCUGUAAACCAACACCCAUCCUCAUGUCCUCCAAGAACUCCCACCUAUUUCACCGCCAGCUGAGAGGCUGGGACUCACUUGGCAGG
RNAcentral lists this long non-coding RNA (404 nucleotides) under Heterocephalus glaber (naked mole-rat). RNAcentral describes it as "lncRNA (ENSHGLG00000045891.1)". The record is from RNAcentral. Lineage: Eukaryota; Metazoa; Chordata; Mammalia; Rodentia; Bathyergidae.